UCUUCCUCCCGGGUUUGGGUGGUUCUCCUGCCUCAGCCUCCCGAGUGGCUGGGAUUGCAGGCAUGAGUCACCAUUCCUGGCUAAUUUUGUAUUUCUUUUUUUUUUUUUUUUUUUUUUUUUUUUUUGGUAGAGACGAGGUUUCUCCAUGUUGGUCAGGCUGGUCUCAAACUGCCGACCUCAGGUGAUCCGCCCGCCUCGGCCUCCCAGGGUGCUUGGAUUGCAGGCGUGAGCCACCAUGCCCUGCUAAUUUUUUGUUGUUGUUGUUAGAGACGGGGUUUCUCCAUGUUGGUCAGGCUGGUCUCAAACUCCCGACUUCAGGUGAUCCGCCCGCCUCGACCUCCCCGGGGUGCUGGUGAGAGGUGACAAUGUGCUAGUAGCCCUCGCUCACUCUCAGUGCUUCCUCAGCCUGGGUGCCCGCUCUGGCCGAGCUCGAGGAGCCCUUCAGUCCGCCACUGUGCUGUGGGGGCCCCUCUCUGGGGCUGGCCGAGGCCCCAGCCGGCUCCCUCUGCUAGGGAGGAGAUGUGGAGGGAAGGGCACUGGCGGGAGCCUGGGCUGCGCUCCGCUGGGCUUGAUCCUGGACAAGCUCCCUCUGAGCUGCUGGAGUGCCGGGCUAGGUGCCACAAAGUCCUGUAGCGAGUGCCAUUGAGAGGUGAAGCGGCUGGGCUUCUGGGUCUGGUGGGGACCUGGAUAACUUUUCUGUCGAGCUAAAGGUUUGUAAACGCACCAAUCAGCACUCUGUGUCUAGCUAAAGGUUUGUAAAUGCACCAAUCAGCACUCUGUGUCUAGGUAAUGGCUUGGAGAACUUUUGUGUCUAGCUAAAGGUUUGUAAAUGCACCAAUCAGCGCUCUGCCAAAACAGACCAAUCAGCUAUCUGUAAAACGGACCAAUCAGCUCUCUGUAAAAUGGACUAAUCAGUAGGAUGUGGGUGGGGCCAGAUAAAGGAAUAAAAGCAGUUCACGGAGGCAGCAGCGGCAACCCGCUUGGGUCCCCUUCCAGGAUGUGGAAGCUCUCUUCUUUUGUGCUCUUUGUCAUAAAUCUUGCUGCUGCUCACUCUUUGGGUCCGCACAGCCUGUAUGAGCUGUGAUAAUCACCGCGAAGGUCUGCGGCUUAACUCCUGAAGUCAGUGAGCCCACGAACCCACCAGAAGGAAGAAACUCUGGACACAUCUGAACAUCUGAAAGAACAAACUCAGGACACACCAUCUUUAAGAACUGGUAACACUCACCGCGAGGGUCGGUGGCUUCAUUCUUGAAGUCAGUGAGACCAAGAACCCACCAAUUCCGGACACACUGGGAUUGCAGGUGUGAGCCACUGUGUCAGGCCUAAUUUAUUAAUCAGAAAGGAAUAAAUCGGCCUGGCCUGGUGGCUCACGCUUGUGAUCCCAGGACUUUGGACGACCAGGCAUGGAGGAUCACUGGAGCCUAGGAGUUCCAGACCAGCCUGGGCAACAUGGUGAAACCCGGUCUCUCUUUUUUUUUUUUUUUUUUUUUGAGGUGGAGUUUUGCGCUUGUUGCCCAACAUGGAGUGCAGUGGCGCGGUCUCGGCUCGCCAUGGCCUCCGCCUCCCGGGUUUGGGUGGUUCUCCCGCCUCACCUUCUCCAGUGGCUGGGAUUAAAGGCCUGAGCCACCAUGCCCGGCUAAUUUUGUAUUUUAUUUUAUUUUAUUUUUUGGUAGAGACGAGGGUUCUCCAUGUUGGUCGGGCUGGUCUCUAGCUCUCGACCUCAGGUGAUCCGCCCGCCUCGGCCUCCCGGGGUGCUGUGAUUGCAGGCGUGAGCCACCGCGCCCGGCCCAUUUAUUAGUAGGAAAGGAAUAGAUCGGCCUGGCAUGGUGGCUCAUGCUUGUGAUCCCAAGACUGGAUGGCCGAGCGCGAUGGAUUGCUUGAGCCUAGGAGUUCCAGACUGGCCUGGGAAACAUAGUGAAACUCGGUCUCUUUUUACUUUUCUUUCUUUCUUUCUUUUUUUUUUUUUUUUUUUGGUUUGUUUGUUUGAGACGGAGUUUCGCUUUUGUUGCACAGGCUAGAGUGCAGUGGCGCGAUCUCGGGUCACCUCAACCUCUGCUUCCCGGGUUUAGGUGAUUCUCCUGGCUCAGCCUCCCAAGUAGCUGGGAUUACAGGCAUGAGCCACCAUGACCGGCUAACUUUGUAUUUUUUUUUUUUUUUUAGUAGAGACGGGGUUUCUCCAUGUUGGUUGGGCUGGUCUGGAGCUCCCUACCUCAGGUGAUCCGCCCGCCUCAGCCUCCCAAAGUGCUGGGAUUGCAGGCGUGAGUCACCGGGCCUGGCCCGAAACCGGGUCUCUUAAGGGAAAAACAAAAACCACAAAGAUUAGCCGGGCGUGGUGGGCCGCACAGGUAGUCCCAGCUACUCUGAAGGCUGAUUGAGGAGGAUUGCUUGAGCCCCGGGGGUCGAGGUGGCAGUGAGCUAUGAUGGCGCUGCUGCAGUCCAGACUGGGCGACAGAGCGGGACUCUGUCUCAGGAAAAGGGAAAGGAAAAAAAGAAAGUGAAUGAAAUUGCUAAGUCAAGGAAAAGCUUGACAGUAUAUUAUUGAGAGAAAUACAGGCAAAGGUUAGCAGACACCAAUGUUCACUUAGUGGGAACUGCAGGUGUUCCCCGGACAGGAGGCUGCUACUUUUCCAAAAGAAAUCUAUUACUGACUAUCAAUAAAAAAAAAUAGGUUUGUUACAGUAUACAAAUAGCUAAACUUUAUAUAGCCAUGACCCUAUUCUAGCACUGCUCUAAGCUUUUUCCUGCUCUGAAAUAGCUACUAUUGUUACCUCUUGUAGGGAAAACAGAUCCCAGAGGUUGUUGUGGAAGGACCAAGGAAACUAUGAAAUUGACUUAUUGUAAGUUUCAGACUUAAAGGUUCUUCCUGCUCUGCUCCUUAGUUGCCACAUUUCAGUUAACAUACCUCUUAAAAUACUGGUACUUUCUAUAUUUGGAGGGAUUCGUCUUGCAAUUCGAAGUUUGUUUUGUUUUGUUUUGUUUUUUGUUUUUUGCACUAAGCAUUUGGUCAUAAGAUCACCUGGAUUUUAUGUCAGUUUAAGUACCUCUUUAGACAUUAUUCAGUUAGGAAUGUAAGUAGGAGCUAGCAUUGUGUGUAAAAGGAAAGAACAGCUGUUUACAAACCACUUUUGUUUCAUGAUACAAAUAUAAAUCAGUAUGUUACUGGAAAUGCAGGCUGGGCGGGGAGGGAAAAUACGCAGAGAGAAAAGCCCCAUCUCUGCUUGGAGUUCAGCACCGGAUCUCUUUUCCCUUCCACUUUCCUUGACAAGGCUGCCACAGUGACAGAAGCACACGGGGCUGCCUUUUAGUGACACCUGCUGGGACAGACCUGGAAGAAGGGAUUGCUGAUUUGCAUGUUUCCUGGCUGCCUCUGCUAGCCCCUGAGUCAGCAGCCCACUCCAAUUCAUGCUGAGCUUGGACAGCUGAGGUUUGAAAAAUUCCCCCUUCCCUUGGAGCAACCGUUUUCCAGCCUCCUCAUCAUUCCUGAAGGAGAGUGACCUACAUGACAGAUACCCAGAAAUUUAUAGAAGCUUCAUAGUGAGGCUAAAUCCUAAACAGGGGCUCAAACUGCCAACACCGAAUGAAGAGAGAGGUUUUGCAGUAAAGCAGGAAGUCAUUAAAAUAAUGAAUCACCCGGCUGGGUUUUGAGCUCCUUUCCCACUAAUUUAUUGGAAAGAUUUAUUGUCUUUACAAUGUACAAUGCCCAUCAUCAGUUGAAAAUAGAAGCUGAAAAUGCAUUUAAGGCUGGGUGCAGUGGCUCACACCUGUAAUCCCAACUCUUUGGGAGGUUGAAGCGGGUGGUUCACCUGAGGUCGGGAGUUCGAGACCAGCCUGGCCAACAUGAUGAAACCCCAUCUCUACUAAAAAUACAAAAAUUAGCCGGGCAUGGUGGUGCACACCUGUAAUCCCAGCUACUGGGGAGGCUGAAAUAAGUUCAUAAAUUCAGCAGCUGUGAGGUAAUUGGCCCAAUUGCUAUGCUACUUUCACCCCUUGAGGAUGAACAGUGCACAGGAGAGUGCAGGUUUACAGGUCUCUGAAUAGUGCCAUCCAAAAAUGGUGAACAACCACCCUGAAAAACAGCUUGGUGUUUUGUUUUGUUUUAUUUUGUUUUCACAAAUUAGAAACGUGCUUAACUAUGUACCCACUAACUGCACUCCUGGCCACUUGCCCUAGAGAAAUAAAAGUUGAUAUUCAUGCAAAAACUUGUGCAUGA
Molecule: long non-coding RNA, 4210 nt
Filed under: Homo sapiens (human)
Lineage: Eukaryota; Metazoa; Chordata; Mammalia; Primates; Hominidae
Description: long non-coding RNA NONHSAT173057.1
Source: RNAcentral